GACGAACCGUGCGAACGUUGUUCGGAUUCACUGGGCUUAAAGGGCGCGUAGGCGGGCCAUCAAGUCAGGGGUGAAAUCUUUCGGCUCAACCGGAAAAGUGCCUUUGAUACUGGUGGUCUCGAGGGAGGUAGGGGCAUGCGGAACUUCCGGUGGAGCGGUGAAAUGCGUAGAUAUCGGAAGGAACGCCGGUGGCGAAAGCGGCGUGCUGGACCUCUUCUGACGCUGAGGCGCGAAAGCUGAGGGGAGCAAACGGGG
This 255-nucleotide ribosomal RNA is filed under the name uncultured bacterium. RNAcentral's name for it is "partial 16S ribosomal RNA". It matches the Rfam family "Bacterial small subunit ribosomal RNA", at positions 524 to 777 of the family's 1533-position model. The record is from RNAcentral.